This 253-nucleotide ribosomal RNA is filed under the name uncultured bacterium. Its description in RNAcentral is "partial 16S ribosomal RNA". It matches the Rfam family "Bacterial small subunit ribosomal RNA", at positions 524 to 776 of the family's 1533-position model. The record is from RNAcentral.
UACGGAGGGGGCGAGCGUUGUCCGAAGUUAUUGGGCGUAAAGAGCGUGUAGGCGGCUAGAUAGGUCCGUUGUGAAAACUCGAGGCUCAACCUCGAGACGUCGAUGGAAACCAUCUGGCUAGAGUCCGGAAGAGGAGAGUGGAAUUCCUGGUGUAGCGGUGAAAUGCGCAGAUAUCAGGAAGAACACCCGUGGCGAAGGCGGCUCUCUGGUACGUGACUGACGCUGAGACGCGAAAGCGUGGGGAGCAAACAGG